UCAGGCUGAAGAACCUUACCCGAUUAGCUGAGAGGUGGUGCAUGGCCGUCGUCAGUUCGUACUGUGAAGCAUCCUGUUAAGUCAGGCAACGAGCGAGACCCACGUCCACAGUUGCCAGCAUACCCUCCGGGGUGAUGGGUACACUGUGGAGACCGCCGCUGCUAAAGCGGAGGAAGGAGUGGGCAACGGUAGGUCAGUAUGCCCCGAAUCUCCCGGGCUACACGCGGGCUACAAUGGUUGGUACAAUGGGCAUCUACCCCGAAAGGGGAAGGAAAUCUCUUAAAGCCAAUCGUAGUUCGGAUUGAGGGCUGCAACUCGCCCUCAUGAAGCUGGAAUCCGUAGUAAUCGCGUUUCAACAGAACGCGGUGAAUACGUCCCUGCUCCUU
Molecule: ribosomal RNA, 386 nt
Filed under: uncultured Methanosaeta sp.
Lineage: Archaea; Methanobacteriati; Methanobacteriota; Methanomicrobia; Methanotrichales; Methanotrichaceae
Description: bacterial SSU rRNA
Rfam family: Archaeal small subunit ribosomal RNA
Source: RNAcentral